Molecule: non-coding RNA, 46 nt
Filed under: Schistosoma bovis
Lineage: Eukaryota; Metazoa; Platyhelminthes; Trematoda; Strigeidida; Schistosomatidae
Also listed under: 1 other name
Source: RNAcentral
GCACUGCCGAAGAGUCCCAUCCUGGGACGAAACGACCGUCCCGUAC